UACAGAGGUCUCAAGCGUUGUUCGGAUUCAUUGGGCGUAAAGGGCGCGUAGGCUGCGGGGCAAGUCGGGUGUGAAAUCUCAGAGCUCAACUCUGAAACUGCGCCCGAGACUGCUUCUCUUGAGUCCCGGAGAGGAAGGUGGAAUUCCCGGUGUAGCGGUGAAAUGUGUAGAGAUCGGGAGGAACACCGGUGGCGAAGGCGGCCUUCUGGACGGUGACUGACGCUGAGGCGCGAAAGCGUGGGGAGCAAACGGG
RNAcentral lists this ribosomal RNA (253 nucleotides) under uncultured bacterium. Its description in RNAcentral is "partial 16S ribosomal RNA". It matches the Rfam family "Bacterial small subunit ribosomal RNA", at positions 524 to 776 of the family's 1533-position model. The record is from RNAcentral.